AAACAAUGGGAAUCUCAUCGUUACAUUCUAGAGAUGAUUAGGUGUUAUGAAAAAAAUAAUAACAAUUUUUAUUUUUAUAAACAAUAGCCAGCAGCCGGGCAAUUAUUGGAUUUUGACAUUUUUCGAGAAAAUUGAGAGUAGAGAAAAAUCUAGGGUGUUAGGAAACGAUGGGAAUCCCAUCGUUACAUUCUAGAGAUGAUUAGGUGUUAUAAAAAAAAUAAUAACAAUUUUUAUUGUUAUAAACAAUAGCCAGCAGCCGGGCAAUUAUUAAAUUUUGACAAUUUUUGAGAAAAUCGAGUGUAGAAAAAAAUCUAGUGUGUUAGGAAACGAUGGGAAUCCCAUCGUUACAUUCUAGAGAUGAUAAGGUGUUAUGAAAAAAAUAAUAACAAUUUUUAUUUUUAUAAACAAUAGCCAGCAGCCGGGCAAUUAUUGGAUUUUGACAUUUUUCGAGAAAAUUGAGAGUAGAGAAAAAUCUAGGGUGUUAGGAAACGAUGGGAAUCCCAUCGUUACAUUCUAGAGAUGAUUAGGUGUUAUAAAAAAAAUAAUAACAAUUUUUAUUGUUAUAAACAAUAGCCAGCAGCCGGGCAAUUAUUAAAUUUUGACAAUUUUUGAGAAAAUCGAGUGUAGAAAAAAAUCUAGUGUGUUAGGAAACGAUGGGAAUCCCAUCGUUACAUUCUAGAGAUGAUAAGGUGUUAUGAAAAAAAUAAUAACAAUUUUUAUUUUUAUAAACAAUAGCCAGCAGCCGGGCAAUUAUUGGAUUUUGACAUUUUUCGAGAAAAUUGAGAGUAGAGAAAAAUCUAGGGUGUUAGGAAACGAUGGGAAUCCCAUCGUUACAUUCUAGAGAUGAUUAGGUGUUAUAAAAAAAAUAAUAACAAUUUUUAUUGUUAUAAACAAUAGCCAGCAGCCGGGCAAUUAUUAAAUUUUUACAUUUUUUGAGAAAAUUGAGAGUAGAGAAAAAUCUAGGGUGUUAGGAAACGAUGGGAAUCCCAUCGUUACAUUCUAGAGAUGAUAAGGUGUUAUGAAAAAAAUAAUAACAAUUUUUAUUUUUAUAAACAAUAGCCAGCAGCCGGGCAAUUAUUGGAUUUUGACAUUUUUCGAGAAAAUUGAGAGUAGAGAAAAAUCUAGGGUGUUAGGAAACGAUGGGAAUCCCAUCGUUACAUUCUAGAGAUGAUUAGGUGUUAUGAAAAAAAUAAUAACAAUUUUUAUUUUUAUAAACAAUAGCCAGCAGCCGGGCAAUUAUUGGAUUUUGACAUUUUUCGAGAAAAUUGAGAGUAGAGAAAAAUCUAGGGUGUUAGGAAACGAUGGGAAUCCCAUCGUUACAUUCUAGAGAUGAUUAGGUGUUAUAAAAAAAAUAAUAACAAUUUUUAUUGUUAUAAACAAUAGCCAGCAGCCGGGCAAUUAUUAAAUUUUGACAAUUUUUGAG
Leptopilina boulardi is the source of this 1423-nucleotide long non-coding RNA. RefSeq lists it as uncharacterized. The transcript is spliced from 4 exons. Lineage: Eukaryota; Metazoa; Arthropoda; Insecta; Hymenoptera; Figitidae. The record is from RefSeq and is a predicted model, not a curated record.